This 254-nucleotide ribosomal RNA is filed under the name uncultured bacterium. RNAcentral describes it as "partial 16S ribosomal RNA". It matches the Rfam family "Bacterial small subunit ribosomal RNA", at positions 524 to 776 of the family's 1533-position model. The record is from RNAcentral.
UACGAAGGGGGCGAGCGUUGUCCGGAUUUAUUGGGCGUAAAGAGCUCGUAGGCGGUUUGGCAAGUCGGGUGUGAAAACUCCGGGCUCAACUCGGAGACGCCACUCGAUACUGCUAUGACUCGAGUCCGGUAGGGGAGUGCGGAAUUCCUGGUGUAGCGGUGAAAUGCGCAGAUAUCAGGAGGAACACCGGUGGCGAAGGCGGCACUCUGGGCCGGUACUGACGCUGAGGAGCGAAAGCGUGGGGAGCGAACAGG